RNAcentral lists this unclassified non-coding RNA (562 nucleotides) under Hevea brasiliensis (rubber tree). The record is from RNAcentral. Lineage: Eukaryota; Viridiplantae; Streptophyta; Magnoliopsida; Malpighiales; Euphorbiaceae.
GGAAAAGGGCUGAAGCUUGGAAUUUACAGCGAUGCAGGUUCUCAAACCUGCAGCAUGCGAAUGCCUGGGUCGCUUGGAUACGAAGAAAAGGAUGCAAAAACAUUUGCUUCUUGGGAUGUCGACUACUUGAAGUAUGAUAACUGUAACAACCACGGUGAAAGACCACAGGAGAGGUAUACUAAAAUGGGCAAAGCUCUACAAAACUCCGGGAGGAGUAUAUUUUUCUCUUUAUGUGAAUGGGGGCAAAAUGAUCCAGCAACAUGGGCAACCGGAGUUGGGAAUAGUUGGAGGACCACGGGUGAUAUCAAAGAUAAUUGGGCCAGUAUGACAUCUUGUGCCGACCUGAACGAUCAAUGGGCAUCCUAUGCACAUCCUGGAGGAUGGAAUGACCCGGAUAUGCUUGAAGUAGGAAAUGGUGGGAUGACGACCGCAGAAUAUCGCUCCCACUUCAGCAUAUGGGCAUUAGCCAAGGCUCCUUUGAUUAUUGGUUGUGAUCUCCGCUCGAUGAGCAGAGAGACAAAAGAAAUUUUGAGCAACGCAGAGGUCAUUGCAGUUAAUCAAG